UAUGAAUUUAGGUUUUCUUAGUUGAAAUUAAUAGGGAAAAAGGUGAAAAUCCUUUACAGUUCCCGCUACUGUAAUAUAGACGAAACCAUGGACCACUGUACUUUACGGGAAGGUCGGGAGUAGGAUGAAGUUAAGUCAGGAGACCUGCCUAAAUGA
RNAcentral lists this non-coding RNA (156 nucleotides) under uncultured Intestinibacter sp. Lineage: Bacteria; Bacillati; Bacillota; Clostridia; Peptostreptococcales; Peptostreptococcaceae. The record is from RNAcentral.